RNAcentral lists this ribosomal RNA (83 nucleotides) under Leptolyngbya sp. FACHB-671. RNAcentral's name for it is "partial 16S ribosomal RNA". It matches the Rfam family "Bacterial small subunit ribosomal RNA", at positions 1 to 85 of the family's 1533-position model. The record is from RNAcentral. Lineage: Bacteria; Bacillati; Cyanobacteriota; Cyanophyceae; Leptolyngbyales; Leptolyngbyaceae.
UUACAAUGGAGAGUUUGAUCCUGGCUCAGGAUGAACGCUGGCGGUAUGCUUAACACAUGCAAGUCGAACGGAAGUCUUCGGAC